RNAcentral lists this ribosomal RNA (449 nucleotides) under uncultured bacterium. RNAcentral describes it as "partial 16S ribosomal RNA". It matches the Rfam family "Bacterial small subunit ribosomal RNA", at positions 329 to 793 of the family's 1533-position model. The record is from RNAcentral.
GGCCAGACUCCUACGGGAGGCAGCAGUGGGGGAUAUUGCACAAUGGGGGAAACCCUGAUGCAGCGACGCCGCGUGGGCGAAGAAGUAUUUCGGUAUGUAAAGCCCUCUCAGCAGGGAAGAAGAAAUGACGGUACCUGAGUAAGAAGCACCGGCUAAAUACGUGCCAGCAGCCGCGGUAAUACGUAUGGUGCAAGCGUUAUCCGGAUUUACUGGGUGUAAAGGGGGCGCAGACGGCGAUGCAAGCCAGGAGUGAAAGCCCGGGGCCCAACCCCGGGACUGCUCUUGGAACUGCGUGGCUGGAGUGCAGGAGGGGCAGGCGGAAUUCCUGGUGUAGCGGUGAAAUGCGUAGAUAUCAGGAGGAACACCGGUGGCGAAGGCGGCCUGCUGGACUGCAACUGACGUUGAGGCCCGAAAGCGUGGGGAGCAAACAGGAUUAGAUACCCUCGUAC